GUAGGUGGCAAGCGUUGUCCGGAAUUAUUGGGGCGUAAAGCGCGCGCAGGUGGUUCUUUAAGUCUGAUGUGAAAGCCCCCGGGCUCAACCGGGGGAGGGUCAUUGGAAACUGGGGAACUUGAGUGCAGGAGAGGAAAGUGGAAUUCCACGUGUAGCGGUGAAAUGCGUAGAUAUGUGGAGGAACACCAGUGGCGAAGGCGACUUUCUGGCCUGUAACUGACACUGAGGCGCGAAAGCGUGGGGAGCAAACAGGAUUAGAUACCCUGGUAGUCCACGCCGUAAACGAUGAGUGCUAAGUGCUGGGGGGUUUCCGCCCCUCAGUGCUGCAGCUAACGCAUUAAGCACUCCGCCUGGGGAGUACGGCCGCAAAGACUG
RNAcentral lists this ribosomal RNA (375 nucleotides) under uncultured organism. Its description in RNAcentral is "partial 16S ribosomal RNA". It matches the Rfam family "Bacterial small subunit ribosomal RNA", at positions 527 to 896 of the family's 1533-position model. The record is from RNAcentral.